Danaus plexippus (monarch butterfly) is the source of this 1162-nucleotide long non-coding RNA. RefSeq lists it as uncharacterized. The record is from RefSeq and is a predicted model, not a curated record. The transcript is spliced from 5 exons. NCBI's taxonomy places the organism in Eukaryota, Metazoa, Arthropoda, Insecta, Lepidoptera, Nymphalidae.
UUUCCAUUGAUUUAUCUUAUUUGCGCACAAACAGAAACACAGCAUAAAGAUGAACUUAAUGCUAAAAUGCUUUCUCAGUCAGAUAACUCAAGGGUUCUAAAAAAAGGGUUCAUACAAAAACUAAAAAAAAAAUUUACAUUCAAAAAAGAGAAAAUGGAGGUUUAAAUGAUAAAAAACAAGUGGAGUAUGAUAAAAAUUAUGAUUGUAAGAUAAGAAAUGUCACUCUUAAUUAUAUAUGAAACAGCGUGUUGUUGAAGCCUUACGUGUAGGCUGUCAGAAUAUUCCAAGGUUGUAUAAAAGAGUUAGAGAGGAAUCCAGUUUAACGAUGAGGAUUUUGAUGAAAGAAAUUCCUUAAACAACAAAGCUGUCUCUUAUUACAUUCAAACCAAAAUAUUUGGAGAAGAAGAAUUCAGUAGAAUAGAAUAUAGUAGGCGAAUUCUAUUCUAUUGAAUUCUUGUUCUCCACGAUCGUGGGAUUGCUGAAGUCUUGUAUUUUUAAUGAUUUUGAUUGGCGUCUGUAAAGAUGAAAUUUGCGGAGCCCGAAAAUCUAAUGUUUAUGUUUAAACCAUCAUGUUAUUAUUGUGGUGUACAACGUUAAGGUCCAAAGUCCACAUCAUAAUUGAUGAUAGGUUUCAUCACCAAGUCGGCUACGUAUACUCUAGUCCUAAAGAAAAAUAAGUUUUUAAGCAUAUAGCUAUCACAGAAUGUUUGAGAAACUUGGUCUAAGUUAUAAUUCCACUUGCCCAUGAAUUCACCUAAGAUUUAAUUUAAUUAUCACUUACAGGAAAAGCCAGCGGAUGUGAGUAAAGAUGGAAUUUGAGAUGAACUUUAAUUGACUAAGGUUUUUUGUAUUCGUCUUACUACACCAAUUAUACAAAACGUACCUAAAAAUCUAAAACAAUGAAAUUAUAAAAUAAUAAAAAAUUGGGUACUUCUAUUAGACAAAACAGCUAAGGUCUUAAAAAUAAUUUAGUACUAAUAUAGUUCGUGUAUUAAAGUAAAAAUUAUUACGCACAUUUUAUAUUUUUUAAUUAAGAUAUAAACCUAUUUUUAAAAUACCAACAUUUAAAAAUAUAUUUCACAGGACAAACCUGCUGAAGGUGACGCUGCGGGAAACGAAACCACGGCUGCAGGCGGAGAAACUACCACACCAGCGGCUGUAA